CACACACACAUACAUACAUACAUACAUACAUACAUACAUACACACACACACACACACACAGAUACACAGAUACACUUACCACCAACAUUCACUCACCCACAUGAAUACUCAGAAAUGCAUAGAAACAUUCAAAGGCACACACACAUACACUUGGCUGUUCCUAAAGCUACAGGUGAUAUUCUCGACUCUUACCACGAAGAUCUCACUAAGUUCUAACUCUGCUGCUCCUCCAGCCUUAGCAGAGAGAAACCAUCAUCAUCGUCAUCAUCGUCAUCAUCAUUAUCGCCAUCAUCAUCCUGCUUAAACACAACACAACAAAGGGGGCAGAAAAACACAGAGCAACACUGCAGGCUUAGAACAGAGCAGAGCGGAGCGGAACAGAGGGGACUUUCAGUCACAGUGUCACCGAGAGAGACCUCUGGUACCAUCAACCCCUCCCCUCCUGCCCCAGGACCUCGAGGUGACCCGACCCCCUGGGGACGAACACUCACACCCACCGAGGAAGAGGAUCUGACUCCUGGUGGUGGGUAACCAGGAGAGGAGAGGGCGGCACAGGGAGGGGAUUGUAUUGGGGGACUUU
Long non-coding RNA from Coregonus clupeaformis (lake whitefish), 580 nucleotides. RefSeq lists it as uncharacterized. NCBI's taxonomy places the organism in Eukaryota, Metazoa, Chordata, Actinopteri, Salmoniformes, Salmonidae. The transcript has 3 exons. The record is from RefSeq and is a predicted model, not a curated record.